GCCCUUUUCCGGUUGAUCCUGCCGGAGGCCAUUGCUAUCGGAAUCCGAUUUAGCCAUGCUAGUCGCACGGGUUAGACCCGUGGCGGAAAGCUCAGUGACACGUGGCCAAACUACCCUGUGGACGGGGAUAAUCUCGGGAAACUGAGGCUAAUCCUCGAUAGGGCUUCCAUCCUGGAGUGGAGGAAGCUCGAAAGUUGCGCUGCGGCACCACAGGAUGUGGCUGCGGCCGAUUAGGUAGACGGUGGGGUAACGGCCCACCGUGCCAGUAAUCGGUACGGGUGAUGAGAGUCAGAGCCCGGAGACGGUAUCUGAGACAAGAUACCGGGCCCUACGGGGCGCAGCAGGCGCGAAACCUUUACACUGCACGACAGUGCGAUAGGGGGAUUCCGAGUGCGAGGGCAUACAGUCCUCGCUUUUCUAGACCGUAAGGAGGUCCAGGAACAAGGGCUGGGCAAGACCGGUGCCAGCCGCCGCGGUAAUACCGGCAGCCCAAGUGAUGGCCGAUAUUAUUGGGCCUAAAGCGUCCGUAGCCGGCCGGACAAGUCCGUUGGGAAAUCCACGCGCUUAACGCGUGGGCGUCCAGCGGAAACUGUCCGGCUUGGGGCCGGAGGACUCGAGGGGUACGUCCGGGGUAGGAGUGAAAUCCCGUAAUCCUGGACGGACCACCGGUGGCGAAAGCGCCUCGAGAGGACGGACCCGACGGUGAGGGACGUAAGCCAGGGUCUCGAACCGGAUUAGAUACCCGGGUAGUCCUGGCCGUAAACGAUGUCCGCUA
Molecule: ribosomal RNA, 775 nt
Filed under: uncultured archaeon
Lineage: Archaea
Description: bacterial SSU rRNA
Rfam family: Archaeal small subunit ribosomal RNA
Source: RNAcentral